CACGUAGGGUGCGAGCGCUGUCCGGAAUUAUUGGGCGUAAAGAGCUCGUAGGCGGUGUGUCGCGUCGGCCGUGAAAACCUGCAGCUUAACUGUGGGCUUGCGGUCGAUACGGGCAUCACUGGAGUUCGGCAGGGGAGACUGGAAUUCCUGGUGUAGCGGUGAAAUGCGCAGAUAUCAGGAGGAACACCGGUGGCGAAGGCGGGUCUCUGGGCCGAUACUGACGCUGAGGAGCGAAAGCGUGGGGAGCGAACAGG
RNAcentral lists this ribosomal RNA (254 nucleotides) under uncultured bacterium. RNAcentral describes it as "partial 16S ribosomal RNA". It matches the Rfam family "Bacterial small subunit ribosomal RNA", at positions 524 to 776 of the family's 1533-position model. The record is from RNAcentral.